Molecule: long non-coding RNA, 1033 nt
Organism: Silurus meridionalis
Lineage: Eukaryota; Metazoa; Chordata; Actinopteri; Siluriformes; Siluridae
Exons: 3
Source: RefSeq, a predicted model, not a curated record
UGUAUUUCAUAGCAUCUAAUGGUUUCGGAGAACACACUUUUUUUGGAUUGACUGAUGUUUUUUUUAUUAAAGUACUGAUUACUGUCUUUUCUCUUCACUUAACUGAGUGUUUCUUAUUAUAAUAUGGAUUUGUACGGUAGUUGUAGUAGCACUAAUAGGGCUAUUUACUCGGUUCUCACCCAUUCCUCGGCACAAGAUAACCGAAGGUCUAAAGCACGUUAAGAAGGCAAGAAAUGUCACAAAUUAAUUCUAGGCACACCUGUGAACUGAUUCUAGAUGACUACCUAAUACCUAAUACAUAAUCUUUCAGAGAAUGCCAAGAGUUUGCCAAGCUAAUCAAGCUAGUUAUCAAAGCUAAUUGUAGCUUCAUUGGAUCUAAAAUAUAAAACAUUCUGGGUUGUUUAACACAUUGUGUACUUGAUACAUAAUUCUAUACAUGUUCUUUCACAGUUUGGAUGUCUUCAAUAUUAAUGUACCAUGUUGAAAAUAAUAAAAAAAAAAAGAAAAAACGCUGAAGGAGAAAGUGUGUACAAUCAUUUGUACACUGUAAAAAAUUUCCGGGAUUUCACAAGAUGUAACAGUAAUAUUUCACAGUAACUUACAUUAUUAGCAUUUCACAGGCAUUAACUGUGAUAUUUCACAAUAUAGUACAGUGUUGAGACUUUUAUUGUAAAAAGAAUGCCAUCAGCGAAAUUACAGGAAGCGGCUGUGACUUUCCUCCCGCGCUGGCGCUAUCUUUGAGUUCUCUCAUCUCUGCGGAUUCAGUGGUUCUUCCCACAGCAUCUCACAGCGGUAAGCUAACCACUGGGGAAUAAAGUUGUGAGGCGCUUUUUGGGCAUUAAUCCGGAGACAGGCACAAAGUCAAAGAAGCAGAAAGAACUCAUCAACCAGCAAGUCUGUACACUCAUAAGAAAACUUAUUGAUUUUGAAUGGAUGUCAGUCUAGUGUGAUCCAAAAUUUUGUUCUUUGUUUAGCUAGGCAGUUAUGCACUUUACUAAUUACUAUGUUCUAUAUUGUCUCUUUGUUCAAUAAA